This 440-nucleotide ribosomal RNA is filed under the name uncultured Actinomycetes bacterium. RNAcentral's name for it is "bacterial SSU rRNA". It matches the Rfam family "Bacterial small subunit ribosomal RNA", at positions 338 to 796 of the family's 1533-position model. The record is from RNAcentral. Lineage: Bacteria; Bacillati; Actinomycetota; Actinomycetes.
CCUACGGGAGGCAGCAGUGGGGAAUAUUGCGCAAUGGGCGAAAGCCUGACGCAGCAACGCCGCGUGCGGGAUGAAGGCCUUCGGGUCGUAAACCGCUUUCAGCAGGAACGAUUAUGACGGUACCUGCAGAAGAAGCACCGGCCAACUACGUGCCAGCAGCCGCGGUAAUACGUAGGGUGCAAGCGUUGUCCGGAUUUAUUGGGCGUAAAGAGCUCGUAGGUGGCAAAGUAAGUCGGAAGUUAAACCGCUGGGCUCAACCCAGCGUUGCUACCGAUACUGCUUAGCUUGAGUAUGGCAGGGGAGAACGGAAUUCCACGUGUAGCGGUGAAAUGCGCAGAUAUGUGGAGGAACACCAAUGGCGAAGGCAGUUCUCUGGGCCAUUACUGACACUGAGGAGCGAAAGCGUGGGGAGCGAACAGGAUUAGAUACCCUAGUAGUCC